This 334-nucleotide ribosomal RNA is filed under the name uncultured bacterium. RNAcentral describes it as "bacterial SSU rRNA". It matches the Rfam family "Bacterial small subunit ribosomal RNA", at positions 28 to 361 of the family's 1533-position model. The record is from RNAcentral.
GACGAACGCUGGCGGCGUGCUUAACACAUGCAAGUCGAGCGGUAAGGCCCUUUCGGGGGUACGACGAGCGGCGAACGAGUGAGUAACACGUGGGUGACCUGCCCUCAGCUCUGGGAUAAGCCUGGGAAACCGGGUCUAAUACUGGAUAUGACUCCAUGACGCAUGUUGUGGGGUGGAAAGCCUUGUGCGGCUGAGGAUGGGCCCGCGGCCUAUCAGCUUGUUGGUGGGGGAUGGCCUACCAAGGCGACGACGGUAGCCGGCCUGAGAGGGCGGACCGGCCACACUGGGACGUGAGACACGGCCCAGACUCCUACGGGAGGGCAGCAGUGGGGAA